RNAcentral lists this ribosomal RNA (453 nucleotides) under Citrobacter sp. TBCS-15. RNAcentral's name for it is "partial 23S ribosomal RNA". It matches the Rfam family "Bacterial large subunit ribosomal RNA", at positions 1348 to 1813 of the family's 2925-position model. The record is from RNAcentral. Lineage: Bacteria; Pseudomonadati; Pseudomonadota; Gammaproteobacteria; Enterobacterales; Enterobacteriaceae.
AGGUUUCCAGGGGAAGGCUCGUCCGCCCUGGGUUAGUCGGGACCUAAGGCGAGGCCGAAAGGCGUAGUCGAUGGACAACUGGUUGAUAUUCCAGUACUAGAUAUGAUCGUGAUGGAGGGACGCAGUAGGCUAAGAGAUGCCAGUUAAUGGAUUCUGGUCUAAGCAGUGAGGUGUGAGAUGUGUCAAAUGCAUUUCUCUCUAACAUUGAGCUGUGAUGGGGAAGCAACUACGGUUGCGAACUCUCUGAUGUCACACUGCCAAGAAAAGCUUCUAGCGUAAAGUCAUAUCUACCCGUACCGCAAACCGACACAGGUAGUCGAGGCGAGUAGCCUCAGGUGAUCGAGAGAACUCUCGUUAAGGAACUCGGCAAAAUAGCCCCGUAACUUCGGGAGAAGGGGUGCUGGUGUAAAAGCCAGCCGCAGUGAAUAGGCCCAAGCAACUGUUUAUCAAAAA